CCUACGGGAGGCAGCAGUAGGGAAUAUUCGUCAAUGGGCGCAAGCCUGAACGAGCGAUGCCGCGUGAGUGAAGAAGGACUUCGGUUCGUAAAGCUCUGUUGAGGGGGAAAAAAGGCAGCAUCCGGAACUGGGUGCUGACUGAUGGUGCCCCGCCAGAAAGUCCCGGCAAACUACGUGGCAGCAGCCGCGGUGAUACGUAGGUGGCGAGCGUUAUCCGGAAUGAUUGGGCGUAAAGGGUGCGCAGGCGGUCCUGCAAGUCUGGAGUGAAACGCAUGAGCUAAACUCAUGCAUGGCUUUGGAAACUGGAGGACGGGAGAGCAGGAGAGGGCGGUGGAACUCCAUGUGUAGCGGUAAAAUGCGUAGAUAUAUGGAAGAACACCAGUGGCGAAGGCGGCCGCCUGGCCUGUUGCUGACGCUGAGGCACGAAAGCGUGGGGAGCAAAUAGGAUUAGAUACCCUUGUAGUC
This 465-nucleotide ribosomal RNA is filed under the name uncultured bacterium. RNAcentral describes it as "partial 16S ribosomal RNA". It matches the Rfam family "Bacterial small subunit ribosomal RNA", at positions 338 to 795 of the family's 1533-position model. The record is from RNAcentral.